Molecule: ribosomal RNA, 324 nt
Filed under: uncultured Bacteroidota bacterium
Lineage: Bacteria; Pseudomonadati; Bacteroidota
Description: bacterial SSU rRNA
Rfam family: Bacterial small subunit ribosomal RNA
Source: RNAcentral
GAUGAACGCUAGCGGCAGGCCUAAUACAUGCAAGUCGAGGGGCAGCCUUGUAGCAAUACAAGGGCGACCGGCGCACGGGUGCGUAACGCGUAUGUAAUCUGCCCUCAGCAGGGGGAUAGCCCGUGGAAACAUGGAUUAAUACCCCAUAAAGCAGGGGUGUCACAUGGCACUAUUUGCUAAAGCUUCGGUGGCUGAGGAUGAGCAUGCGUCCGAUUAGCUAGUUGGUAGGGUAAAAGCCUACCAAGGCUACGAUCGGUAGGGGAUCUGAGAGGAUGAUCCCCCACACUGGUACUGAGAUACGGACCAGACUCCUACGGGUGGCUG